RNAcentral lists this long non-coding RNA (248 nucleotides) under Elaeis guineensis (African oil palm). RNAcentral's name for it is "long non-coding RNA (EGUI_LNC036787)". Lineage: Eukaryota; Viridiplantae; Streptophyta; Magnoliopsida; Arecales; Arecaceae. The record is from RNAcentral.
UGAGACUUGGGCGACCAAACCCUCCAAAUGGGAUGAAGUAUUUUGGUCGCUCAUGGAGUUUUUUCUUGUUGUUGCUUCUUCCUAAUGCGUAGUCGAACUUUCCCACUUGGAGUGGCUCGUCGGUGGAUUUGUAGACUGAUCUCAUCUUCACCAUCUAUGGGCAGGAUCUACGCUUCGAUACCACAUGAUCCGUCUAUAUUCUAGGAUCAAUUUGAUGCAUGAUAUUUUUUUCUAGAGGAAAAGGGGAG